ACAUUUAUUUGGCUUGUUCAAGUAAGCUAUGUCCAGAACCUCUGCAAAGCUGUGGUAACAGACCCAGCCACAGCCGGGACGUGGGUAUGUGCAGGGCUUUGGCACAGCCUCUCUCUCCUGCAGGAGCCGCUGUACCCAAACACCCACUGCCUGUCCAUCCCUUGGCGACAGCCUCUCGGAGCGUCCUGCCUGCGGUCUGGACAACUUUGCACCCCGAGUGGAGGAACGUUGCCCAGCAGAGUCAAAACAAAAGAAAUUAUAGGAACCAAGGUGGGCAAAGGCCAGAAAUUUAUCGCUUUUGGAGCUUUGUUUGCAAUAACUCAGGAAGAAGGUCACAGAGCAGAGAACCCUAUUAAGCUGAACUGACCUGAGCGAAGCCCAGUAUCCAGAGGCGAAAGACAAAAACAAGGACGAGGGAGUUUUAAUACCGUAGCCACAGCCCUCAGAAUUGGAAGUGAGAGGGUGCAAGGACUGCAGCAAAUAUGGGAGGAAUUUGGGAUUCAGGAGGUGUUGAUCUAGCUCACAAACUUCCUGCAGUGUUUUGCUGAUACAACAUAAGGUCUCUCGUGUCACUUCAAACUUCCAUAAAGUAUUAAUACGAACACACUCCAAUCCCGCAUAAAGUCCCAUGGAAACGGGUCACAAUCUUCUUGUCAGAUCAUAUCUAACAGGUACUAUACAUAUAUUUAUUUCUAUCUAUUUAUAUAGCCUCCAUCACCAUAGUAACUUAUCCAUCUGUUAAUACUACACGAUCUCUUCCUUUAUUCAAGAGAGAUAAAAUACAGUUUUCCACUAUCAGCCCUCAAGGUUACCGCACCAUUUUGACAAGUGAUUCCAAGAGCACAUCAUAGCCUGCCAAAUUCUGCACUGCCGGUGAUGCCUGCUGAUUACUUUGGCCUGGGACAGGAGCAGGGAAAGGAAGCUGUCCUCCAGCAGGGCUUCAGAAAGAAGCCUGCACUGGAGCACAGAAAAGAGCAAUAUUAAUUCCUGCAUUCUGUUCCAUCUCAUGCCAAAUCAACUGCUCUAAAUAUUGAUUUUUUUUCUAAUGCUUAAACUAAAAAAAGAAGAAAAAAAGAAAAAAAAAGGCAAAAGAGAGAAUCUGAGUCCAAAGAGAGGCUGUGGGCACCAGUUGCUGCACAUAAUCAUUGAAAGCUGUAGCACUGUGAAUAUAUUUCUGAUUAUGUUUCAGUUCUUCAUUAUUAAAAAUGGACUGCAGUUGAUUCAUAGUUUUGCUGCAAUCAGCUGAAACCCAAUUACCACCACAGCACGAACCACUUCUGAUACGGACUCUCAGACCACCAGGAAGAAAUAACUGCUGUAUUUCUAAAGCACUACUUUCCCCAAGUGGCAAAUAUAACUCAUUUGUUUUUACACAGUUUGGGAAUUUUCUACAAAACUUUGUACAACUAAAUACUACACUGACAAUUAUACAGUGUCCGGAUACUACUACACGGAGAUGGAUUUUUCCUUUCCAAACUUUGACUCCAGCCAUGGCCCUGUAUUACAGCAACACCAAACCAUAAUCUUUUCCCUGCAGGAGGGAGUUUGUCCUUGGCCUCCUGCAACAGCAGAACCCACUCCCCACAGCCUACCUGUGCCCUGCUGAUCGAAAUCCUGCUCUUUCAUGUCAAACCCAUUCUGACAGGUCCACCAAUUUUCUUUCACAACAUCACGGUUAGCAGCAGGGUGGGGAGCAAUGUUUACUCUUUUGCCAGACGUUCCACGUAAGCAGCAUGAGCAAUAAUGGCUUGCCACCCUGCCCAACGGUUUCUCCUCUCCUCCCUCUUUAAAAAUAUGUCACUUUUCUUUGGGAUUGGAAGGAUAGGAAAUUACUUUAGUUUUCCCUGAAUAUUAGAAAUAAAUUUCUUCAUGCACAUACUUUUGGUCGAUCCUUCCUGCAGAAAUACAGCCCAAAGGCUGUUGAUACGUGGCCAUGCAGCCCAGUUUAAGAAAGAAGAGAGAUUUGUGCAUCGGUUGAAGGUCAGGAUGCAGCACAGAGCGCAGGGAAUGGCAGAACAGGGUUAUUAGGAAUGGGCAGCAGGAGGAAAAUAAAGCCACACUGUGUCUUCAUGUUUCUGUCCUUCUUCAGAGGUUGUUAGUGAAGUCAUAUCUCUAUUGGCAACAUCACAGUCGUCUCCACAGCAACCGAUGUGAUGCUGCAGAAUGCCGAAACGUCUGGUUUUAAAAAAGGAGUCAUCAUGCUGAUGGGGCUGCAUACAUCCUCUGGCUUACUGAAGGAGGUGAAACGGGGUCUGUGAUAUGUAUUUUGUGGUAACUACAACAGCUAAGUGUCCUUCUCCACAAAAGGUGAUGGGCUCAAUGACAGCCCCCCAUUGGUUCCAACAGGGACAGGAAUUUACCUCCAAGCUUCUGAGUACUUCAGGCAUGGACAGCAGCAGCGAGUAGAGACGUGUUACUGAAGAUGGUUCAUCUGGGAGGUCAUAUUUCCAGAUAAAGCCUUGCCUCUGUGCAGUAGCCUUCAGGUGCUGAGAAAGUCCUCCCCAAAUGGCCAGGUUGGAAUGCCCAUAUGGAGCAGUACCUCCUGAAGACAUCACAGGAGCUCAGCCUACGCUGCGAUCAGUUGACUCAACAUAUAUUUUUAAGCCUACAACCACAGUGGGAUUUCACAAAAGACAGAAUACAUAUUUGGAAACUGUCAAGAAACAGCCACCUUCACGUUGCAGCUGCCUUUGGUACGUUGGAGCUGUCGGAAGUAACAGAACUGGAAAUGGGGAGGCUGGAAACACUGCGUAGGACCCACUUCUAACCCCAAGCUGCUGCAGAAGCAGCCUUUCUGGUGCUUUUUGGCAUGUGCAUUGAGAUUUCCUGUGCAACAGCUGAGCCAAAGCUUCACUGCAGGUAGCUGUGACGUGUGUCCAUGCACAAAGACUCGCUGCACAGGGACAGCCAUGGCCGCUGCAGCAUGGGGAGGUGGCCCUGGUGCUCCCCAGCCUUGAGCAGUGAGGGGUCUGUGGAGCUCAAAGCACUUCACAGACCUCAGCACCCCUGGCUGCCGUGUGCUGUGGGGUAGCUGAGUAGGGACUUGGUGUUACAGGCACAAACUGAAUGACACGCAGAGGUUGUGCUGCUCUUGUAGCAGGGGCAUGGCAAUAACCUGCCCCAGCAAGUCCAUGGCAGCCAGAAAAUGGAAAUGCCUUGACAAGCUGUUUUCCAUAAAUCCAAGAACAUCCAGAAAGUAUUAGAUAUAGCAAUUUCACAUCCAAUAAAACAAGAGUAAACUUUA
Cygnus olor (mute swan) is the source of this 3244-nucleotide long non-coding RNA. RefSeq lists it as uncharacterized. The transcript is spliced from 2 exons. The record is from RefSeq and is a predicted model, not a curated record. Lineage: Eukaryota; Metazoa; Chordata; Aves; Anseriformes; Anatidae.